UACGGGGGGGGCAAGCGUUGUUCGGAAUUACUGGGCGUAAAGGGCUCGUAGGCGGCCAACUAAGUCAGACGUGAAAUCCCUCGGCUUAACCGGGGAACUGCGUCUGAUACUGGAUGGCUUGAGUUUGGGAGAGGGUAGUGGAAUUCCCGGUGUAGUGGUGAAAUGCGUAGAUAUCGGGAGGAACACCAGUGGCGAAGGCGACUACCUGGCCUGUUCUUGACGCUGAGGCGCGAAAGCUAGGGGAGCAAACGGG
RNAcentral lists this ribosomal RNA (253 nucleotides) under uncultured bacterium. Its description in RNAcentral is "partial 16S ribosomal RNA". It matches the Rfam family "Bacterial small subunit ribosomal RNA", at positions 524 to 776 of the family's 1533-position model. The record is from RNAcentral.